Peromyscus eremicus (cactus mouse) is the source of this 499-nucleotide long non-coding RNA. RefSeq lists it as uncharacterized. NCBI's taxonomy places the organism in Eukaryota, Metazoa, Chordata, Mammalia, Rodentia, Cricetidae. The record is from RefSeq and is a predicted model, not a curated record. The transcript is spliced from 2 exons.
GUAAGCUUGGAGACCGUGGAGAUGCCCACUUCUACCACACACAAGUGAAAAGCAAUAUGAAGCGGAUCUGUGGAGAGAACCUGAGGCUGUGCAGAAAAGCAAGGAUGGGAUCAAUAGGGCUGGCAACAUAGCUUGGGUAGAACAGUUAUCUAGCAUGCACAAAGCCCUGCAUUCAGUCUCAGGAUGCAAACCUGUCAUUGGCCACAUAAUGUCUUACUUUCUUCAGCAAGUCUGAAGAAUUUCUCCAAUCUGAAGAAGUACAACUAAGACAAUCACCACAGAAGAAUGUGCAGAGUACAAUAUGGAGGUCAGAGGCAUGUCACUGGAGACCCGGGAGCUCAGAGAACUUCACAAUGAAUAGACUCCAGACUCUUGCACUAUCAACUCCCUUCCUGGGAGGAAUGCAUGCCCCUUUUCUGUUGUCCCCCUGCUGCAGACCUUCCAGCUGAGGGCCAGAAACAGAAGGUAGUUUGGAAAUAAAGUCUGCAUUAUACAGUAA